UGGGGAAUAUUGGGCAAUGGGCGAAAGCCUGACCCAGCAACGCCGCGUGAAGGAAGAAGGUCUUCGGAUCGUAAACUUCUAUCCCCGGGGAAGAUAAUGACGGUAACCGGGAAGGAAGCCCCGGCUAACUACGUGCCAGCAGCCGCGGUAAUACGUAGGGGGCAAGCGUUGUCCGGAAUGAUUGGGCGUAAAGGGCGCGUAGGCGGCUCGGUAAGUCUGGAGUGAAAUUCCUGCUUUCAAGGUGGGAACUGCUUUGGAUACUGUCGGGCUUGAGUGCAGGAGAGGUAAGUGGAAUUCCCGGUGUAGCGGUGAAAUGCGUAGAGAUCGGGAGGAACACCAGUGGCGAAGGCGACUUACUGGACUGUAACUGACGCUGAGGCGCGAAAGUGUGGGGAGCAAACAGG
Molecule: ribosomal RNA, 404 nt
Filed under: uncultured prokaryote
Also listed under: 1 other name
Description: bacterial SSU rRNA
Rfam family: Bacterial small subunit ribosomal RNA
Source: RNAcentral